AACUCAAAUUAUCAUAGAUAAAACAUAAUAUAGAGAGUUAUUACAGUCUAUUGUAGUUAUUAUAGUAAAGUAAUACAGAAAUAACAGGCAGUGGCUACUAUUUUCAGGGCUGAGGCACAGCCUCCAACAAAGGAACAAAUUGGCAAGAUCUCCUUCCCCCCCUGCCAACUGGACCUCAUUGCAGAGGGUGCAACUCUGGCCCUGGGUGGUAGAGAAGUUUGCUGAGAUGCCAGAGGCCAAAGUUGACAAGCAGGAUUCUCAGUGAGGUACCUGUUAGCCUUACUGAGGAGCUGCUUAUAAGGAUAACACUUUUGGAAUCUGUUGAGGUGAAUGCCACAGGCUGCCUUAUUUGCAGCUGGAACUUGAUAUUGAGGAAAAUAGAAGCACUCCAGAUUCAAGUCCCUUUAUCCUGCAGUGUCCCUCCAGUGCCAUCUACUGACAAAGCUUAAAUAUUGUGCCAGCUGGCAAAGGAGAAAUAUUUGCAGCAUUCAGAAAGUCUGUGAAAAAUGAAUUCGAAGCUGAAAAGCAAUGAAGUGACAAGCAGCAUGUAUAAAAUCUGGAAGGAUUAUAUAUAGAUCAAUGGACAGAUAGAUAGAUAUGUAGAGAUAGAAAAUAUCUUGGCAUAUGGAAACAAAAUACUAUAUAAUAUUAUCAAUGAUAUAUUAUUCAGUACAGACAAUUAAUAGGCUGGUACAAAUGUUAUUUUUAUUCUGACAAUUUUAAAAUAAAUGAUAAAUUGAUUAGGACAUUAGUGACAUUUUCUAUGAAACAAAAUGAACAUCAUUAGAAAAAAAUAGAAUAUACUAGGUUCUGCAUAUGACUGGGAAAAUAAAAAUAUUUUAGACUCUUUCAAGAAUCUCCAACUCACUAAAUUAAUGCAAAUUAAAAGAGCCAACCUGUAUUUUCCCUACCAAAAUUGCUUUUUUCCCCCUUAAAGACUAAAUCUGAAAGCAUAGAUCCAAGUGCAAUUAAUUUUCUGAAAAAAAUAUUUUAAACAGAUACUAUUAAAUUCUAAGAGUUGCUUAGAAUGUAAGCCUCUUUGCAUUGUCCAGCCAUAUCCUACUAAUACAGUAGUUCUCAAAAUAUGGUCAUGAUACCAGAAACAUCAAUUUCACCUGGGAACUUUCUGGAAAAUGAGUUCUCAGGCUCUACCCUAAACCUAUUGAAUGAGAAGUUCCGACAUUUAGACACAGUCAUUUUGUUUCCAGACUAUGUUUAGGUGAUUCUGAUGUAUGGUGAUAUUUGAGGACUGAUGAUAAGUGUUGCUAGCAUAAUUUUUCUUAAUAACUGCUCCUGAUUUAUAAAACAAUAAAUGAACAUCUCUUUUUAGAUGUCUACUUGAGUAUGCUUUAUUUUGAAGACUACUUCUUCUAGUGAGUUCCCCAUUCACUCUGUCCUGACAGUUGACUAAACAGAUUGUGACUAUUGCUGUUGUCUGAAAGUUAUUAUGUAUAGAAAUUAAUAAUAAAAUAAUUUAACCUUCUUCUUUCAAAAUAGUUUAGUUUAAAUAUUUGGUGCUGCAGGUAUUUUAAUUAUUUUCCAUUUGGAGUACUGAAGCAAAUAUCAGUAUCAAACAGCUAAUCUACCUAUAAUGUGUUUAAAUUGAGCAUUCAUGUGAAUUAUAUUUGUUUUCUGCCCCCUCCCCAAAUUCUUAUCCUCUUCAGAGAUUUCUCUGCAUCAGAGAAGUAUCAUCCUACUGAAAAAUAUUUAUUUUUAGUUGGUAAUCAAAUAGAUGUAAAAUCCUUUAGGGUAAUGGCACCAAGUUACUGAAAGUAGAUAUUCCUAAAAUGGAUUCUCUAUUCUAGAUUGCUUUUCUUUUUCUCCAACAUCCAUUUCUUAAUUUGAAAUAUUUUAUACUUUUGGUGGGAGGCUACAAGAUUCCUGGUAGUUUUGCUAUUUAUACAUGUAGUCUCAGGAAUUAUAUUCAAAUUGAAUCUAAUGUCAUACUAAUGUGUUCAAGAAUCUUUGUAUCUAUGUAGUAUCUGGUUACAAGCAAAGUACUACUGUCCCUAGGUUUAUAUCAUUCUCCGUGUUUAAGAUAUAAACAGAAGAACAGACCAAGUCAACCCCCAGAUUUGAGAUGAUGCAUCUUUUUUUGGUAUAAUCUACGUUUCAUUUAUGUAAAUUUUGCUUACAUGGCUUAAAUGGUUCGUCUGCUUAGCAGAAUCUUCAAACAUGGUCUCCAUUUAUUUUGUUUUAAUGCAAGAAUCUUCUGAUCUUUCAAGUCAUGUCUAAGGUAAACCUUACACCUGAAGAAUUCCUAAACUCAUUGAGCAUGUAGAUGCCCAACUACAUGACUUCCACUUUCUUAUAGAAUGCCAGCUUCAGAAGGCAUAAACAGUAUAUUCUGAGACAUAAGAGCAAGAUCCCAAAAGAAUAGUGUUCUCAAUCUUUUAUGACAUUAUCACCUGUUUAAGGGAACCAAUUAGUUACUUCAACAAAUAACCAAAUUAAGGAUUUAUUUCAUUUAUGAGUAUGUUUCUCUUUACAUAUGUUACAUAUGUAACAUGUAUGCCAUGUGCCAGAAAAUAUGCUUAAUGAUUUAUAAAUAUUAUUUUAUUUGGUAACAACCCAAUUAUUAAGUAUUUUAUAAAUAAGAAAACUGAAGAACAGAGAGAUUAAGCAAUUUGCAAAAACUUACAGAGCUAACAGGGUGGAGAUGUGAUAAGAACCUCAAUCUGAGUGUUUCAGAGCUCAUACUAUUUUAACAGCUUUUGAGGUAUAAUUGAUAUUUUUUAAUGUAUAUAACUUGAGGACUUUGGACAUAUGAAUAUACCAUUAUACUAUCAUCAUAAUCAGUGUAAUAAACAUGUCUAUUACCUCCAAAAGUGCCUUUGUGGCCCACCCACUUUGUGGUUAAGACAGCUUAACACAACAUCUACUCUCUUACCAAAAAUUUAAAUACACAAUACUUUAUAGAUAGCUAUGUUCUACAGCAGAUCUCUUGAAAUUAUUAAUCUUGCAUAACUAGAUCUCAAAACCCAUUAGACAACUCUUAUUUUCUCUUUCCUCCAGCCCCUGACAAUUACCAUUCUGUUCUCUGCUUCAAUUAGUCUAUUUCAAAUACCUCACAAAGUGAAAUCAUACAGUAUUUGUCCUGAGACUGGCUUAUUUCACUUAAUAUAAUGUCCUUCUGUUUACCAUGUUGUUGCUAUGGGUUAAGUUUCUUUCUUUUUUAAAACUGAAUAAUUUUUCAUUGAUCAUAGUGCGUAUUUGAGAAUAAAAAUAUAAAGAGAUAAAUUUUCCCAGAAAUAUGAUUAUCAUCAACUAGAACUAGAACCAACCCACAGCUGUUGUUGCCACAUAAAUUACUGCUAUGAAAUUCUUCCAUAGAAGAGCCUAAUUUGUAUGGCAUUUCACCAUGCCUGGUGUUAACAUUUAUGAUUUUUUUUUUCAUUUGCAUUUUUGCUACCCUGGACUUCAGCAUAUAUUUUAAUUUUCAUUUCCUCCUAUGUGGCCAGGUUUGUGGGAAGUUCCCAUACUGAUGAAAUGUCUUGAUGAUUUCCCUCAAUCUUCAUGCCUGUUUCCGCCCUCCCCAAGUACUUAUUUAAGCUAUGUAUUUUAUCUGAAAUUUGUGAUAUUUAAAAGUGGGAUUUUAAGGAUGGAUAUCAAUAGCUGUAGACAGAGAUCUAUUUGAGUUUGGACAAGGAGGUCAUUUAGAGAUGUGACAUAGGUUCCAUGGAGAUGAACAGAGGGAUACAAAUAUCUCUACUUGUUAGUGGCAUAGGUAAUUUUAUCAUUUAAAAGAGAGAGACUGAUUAGCAUCUUUACAUUUAUAUAUUAUGCAUCUACACAAAAGAAUGUAUUUAUUAAUUUAAUUUAUUAAUAAGAACUUUGAAUAAAAGUUUUUAUAUGAAACAAGAAAGGUGCACAAUUUACCUAAAGAAUAAUACUGCAUAUGGAUAUUAUGUCCCUGAUAAGGGAUGUAAAAAUAUCUGUGAUUGUCAGUGUGCUUUAACAACAGUAAAAUGUUGGGAUGACAACAUUGAUGAAGAACACAGAUUGGAGAAAGACUUUACCAUACAUGUUUUAUAUAUAUGUUUGUUUAACUCGUGAAUUAUUUUAGAAGUUUAAAAAAAAUUAAUAUAUAUGGAAGAACAAUUCCAAGGAAGAUAAUUCAAUUCAGUAAAAAACAAUACAAAGGGAAGGGUUAGUUUUUCAGAUAUGGACUACUACAAAAUUAUAGCAAUAAAGUGAGCAUGAUACGGAAGAAGAAAAAGAAAACAAGUACAAUUUAAUAAAAUACUGAAUCUAGAAACAGAGCAAUUUUAGCUGGACAAAUUUUUGCAAAGUGAACACACCUCUGUUACUUUAGGACUAAUCAAGGACAUGUUGGCAU
RNAcentral lists this long non-coding RNA (4339 nucleotides) under Sus scrofa (pig). RNAcentral's name for it is "lncRNA (ENSSSCG00000058350.1)". The record is from RNAcentral. Lineage: Eukaryota; Metazoa; Chordata; Mammalia; Artiodactyla; Suidae.